Molecule: ribosomal RNA, 356 nt
Filed under: uncultured Glomeraceae
Lineage: Eukaryota; Fungi; Glomeromycota; Glomeromycetes; Glomerales; Glomeraceae
Description: SSU rRNA
Rfam family: Eukaryotic small subunit ribosomal RNA
Source: RNAcentral
UGCAGCCGCGGUAAUUCCAGCUCCAAUAGCGUAUAUUAAAGUUGUUGCAGUUAAAAAGCUCGUAGUUGAAUUUCGGGAUCAUCAGGUUGGUCGUGCCUCUGGUAUGUACUUUCCUCGAUGGUUCCUCCUUCUUGAAGAACCGUAAUGCCAUUAAUUUGGUGUUGCGGGGAAACAGGACUGUUACUUUGAAAAAAUUAGAGUGUUUAAAGCAGGCAAUCGCUUGAAUACAUUAGCAUGGAAUAAUGAAAUAGGACGUUCGAUCCUAUUUUGUUGGUUUCUAGGAUUGACGUAAUGAUUAAUAGGGAUAGUUGGGGGCAUUAGUAUUCAAUUGUCAGAGGUGAAAUUCUUGGAUUUAU